Long non-coding RNA from Gigantopelta aegis, 936 nucleotides. RefSeq lists it as uncharacterized. Lineage: Eukaryota; Metazoa; Mollusca; Gastropoda; Neomphalida; Peltospiridae. The record is from RefSeq and is a predicted model, not a curated record. The transcript has 2 exons.
AUUUAGGCCAUCCCAUUGGCUGUUGGGAUGUUCGGACCAGACCACUUGCGUGGGGGGAGGUGCACUUGUUUGAGGACAGGUAAUGUAUCUAUAAAAGAGAAAACACUCAAGUUUUCUCCAAUUGUAAUUUUCACCAGUAAUAAAUAUCACUAUUACUUCACUGAGAUUUUCAGAUGUUUCAUUAAAUGUUGUAUAAUAAUCUAUAUCUUGAUUUUACUAAUAAAACAAAAAAACCCACAUACAACAAACAUUCAUUAUUUGAUAAAAUCUUUAUUUUGUCAUAAUGAUAACAACAAUAAUAAUAAUCAUGAUAAUAAUUUUAUAAAGUAAUACAUUUAUAUUUAAGUGCGAGUGAUUCUUUGUUUUCAUUUAACCCAACUGUUAAUAAAUCUUAUAAAAUUAUGUCUUUGUGAUAACACAAAUCCAGGGGUGCAGAAAUGGAACAUAUUUCACUAGCUCGCUGGACCAGAACCAACUAAAAUUUACUAGCCCGCAAUAAUUUCUACUCAUCCGCCAGUCUAUAGAAUAAUAUACUAUUAAUAAUAUUAUAAUAUACAGUGUCUUCACUUCAAAUGAUAUAUAUGGAUAUACUGACAAAACAUUAUUAAGAACAUCUGGUAAGUGAUCAACAUCAUGUGGCAAACGAAGUCAAAAAGACAGAUAGACCUGUCGGACCGAUAGUUGCAUUUUUUAACUCGUCCGUCAGAAUUUUUACUCGCAUUUGGCGAGCGGGCAAGUACUUUCUGCACCCCUGCAAAUCAUUAUGAUUAAUAUUUAAAAUAAAGGUAAAAAGACGGGGUCAAAUUUAAGAUGCACAGGUGUUUAAGCAUUGUAAAUAUAUGUAGUUACAUGCAUGCAGGCUUUGCAAAUUUGACCCAUACUGUACAUUUAUUGUUUAGUAAGUGUAAAUAAAAUUAUAUCUGUUGAUCAAAACAA